GGGUUGUGAGGUUAAGCGACUAAGCGUACACGGUGGAUGCCCUGGCAGUCAGAGGCGAUGAAGGGCGUGCUAAUCUGCGAUAAGCGCCGGUAAGGUGAUAUGAACCGUUAUAACCGGCGAUACCCGAAUGGGGAAACCCAGUGUGAUUCGUCACACUAUCAUUAACUGAAUCCAUAGGUUAAUGAGGCAAACCGCCCCAGUAGCGGCGAGCGAACGGGGAGGAGCCCAGAGCCUGAAUCAGCAUGUGUGUUAGUGGAAGCGUCUGGAAAGGCGCGCGAUACAGGGUGACAGCCCCGUACACAAAAGCGCAUGUGCUGUGAGCUCGAUGAGUAGGGCGGGACACGUGGUAUCCUGUCUGAAUAUGGGGGGACCAUCCUCCAAGGCUAAAUACUCCUGACUGACCGAUAGUGAACCAGUACCGUGAGGGAAAGGCGAAAAGAACCCCGGCGAGGGGAGUGAAAAAGAACCUGAAACCGUGUACGUACAAGCAGUGGGAGCACCCUUCGGGGUGUGACUGCGUACCUUUUGUAUAAUGGGUCAGCGACUUAUAUUCUGUAGCAAGGUUAACCGUAUAGGGGAGCCGCAGGGAAACCGAGUCUUAACCGGGCGUUAAGUUGCAGGGUAUAGACCCGAAACCCGGUGAUCUAGCCAUGGGCAGGUUGAAGGUUGGGUAACACUAACUGGAGGACCGAACCGACUAAUGUUGAAAAAUUAGCGGAUGACCUGUGGCUGGGGGUGAAAGGCCAAUCAAACCGGGAGAUAGCUGGUUCUCCCCGAAAGCUAUUUAGGUAGCGCCUCGUGAAUUCAUCUCCGGGGUAGAGCACUGUUUCGGCUAGGGGGCCAUCCCGGCUUACCAACCCGAUGCAAACUGCGAAUACCGGAGAAUGUUAUCACGGGAGACACACGGCGGGUGCUAACGUCCGUCGUGAAGAGGGAAACAACCCAGACCGCCAGCUAAGGUCCCAAAGUCAUGGUUAAGUGGGAAACGAUGUGGGAAGGCCCAGACGGAUGUUGGCUUAGAAGCAGCCAUCAUUUAAAGAAAGCGUAAUAGCUCACUGGUCGAGUCGGCCUGCGCGGAAGAUGUAACGGGGCUAAACCAUGCACCGAAGCUGCGGCAGCGACACUGUGUGUUGUUGGGUAGGGGAGCGUUCUGUAAGCCUGCGAAGGUGGCCUGUGAGGGUUGCUGGAGGUAUCAGAAGUGCGAAUGCUGACAUAAGUAACGAUAAAGCGGGUGAAAAGCCCGCUCGCCGGAAGACCAAGGGUUCCUGUCCAACGUUAAUCGGGGCAGGGUGAGUCGACCCCUAAGGCGAGGCCGAAAGGCGUAGUCGAUGGGAAACGGGUUAAUAUUCCCGUACUUGGUGUUACUGCGAAGGGGGGACGGAGAAGGCUAUGUUGGCCGGGCGACGGUUGUCCCGGUUUAAGCGUGUAGGUGUGUGUUCGCCUCUAAGCAUCAGGUAACAUCAAAUCGUACCCCAAACCGACACAGGUGGUCAGGUAGAGAAUACCAAGGCGCUUGAGAGAACUCGGGUGAAGGAACUAGGCAAAAUGGUGCCGUAACUUCGGGAGAAGGCACGCUGACACGUAGGUGAAGUGAUUUACUCAUGGAGCUGAAGUCAGUCGAAGAUACCAGCUGGCUGCAACUGUUUAUUAAAAACACAGCACUGUGCAAACACGAAAGUGGACGUAUACGGUGUGACGCCUGCCCGGUGCCGGAAGGUUAAUUGAUGGGGUCAGCGCAAGCGAAGCUCCUGAUCGAAGCCCCGGUAAACGGCGGCCGUAACUAUAACGGUCCUAAGGUAGCGAAAUUCCUUGUCGGGUAAGUUCCGACCUGCACGAAUGGCGUAAUGAGUCUCCACCCGAGACUCAGUGAAAUUGAACUCGCUGUGAAGAUGCAGUGUACCCGCGGCAAGACGGAAAGACCCCGUGAACCUUUACUAUAGCUUGACACUGAACAUUGAGCCUUGAUGUGUAGGAUAGGUGGGAGGCUUUGAAGUGUGGACGCCAGUCUGCAUGGAGCCGACCUUGAAAUACCACCCUUUAAUGUUUGAUGUUCUAACGUGGACCCGUAAUCCGGGUUGCGGACAGUGUCUGGUGGGUAGUUUGACUGGGGCGGUCUCCUCCUAAAGAGUAACGGAGGAGCACGAAGGUUGGCUAAUCCUGGUCGGACAUCAGGAGGUUAGUGCAAUGGCAUAAGCCAGCUUGACUGCGAGCGUGACGGCGCGAGCAGGUGCGAAAGCAGGUCAUAGUGAUCCGGUGGUUCUGAAUGGAAGGGCCAUCGCUCAACGGAUAAAAGGUACUCCGGGGAUAACAGGCUGAUACCGCCCAAGAGUUCAUAUCGACGGCGGUGUUUGGCACCUCGAUGUCGGCUCAUCACAUCCUGGGGGUUGAAGUAGGUCCCAAGGGUAUGGCUGUUCGCCAUUUAAAGUGGUACGCGAGCUGGGUUUAGAACGUCGUGAGACAGUUCGGUCCCUAUCUGCCGUGGGCGCUGGAGAACUGAGGGGGCUGCUCCUAGUACGAGAGGACCGGAGUGGACGCAUCACUGGUGUUCGGGUUGUCAUGCCAAUGGCACUGCCCGGUAGCUAAAUGCGGAAGAGAUAAGUGCUGAAAGCAUCUAAGCACGAAACUUGCCCCGAGAUGAGUUCUCCCUGAGACUUAGAGUCUCCUGAAGGAACGUUGAAGACGACGACGUUGAUAGGCCGGGUGUGUAAGCGCAGCGAUGCGUUGAGCUAACCGGUACUAAUGAACCGUGAGGCUUAACCUUACAACGCCGAAG
Molecule: ribosomal RNA, 2773 nt
Filed under: Salmonella enterica subsp. enterica serovar Adjame
Lineage: Bacteria; Pseudomonadati; Pseudomonadota; Gammaproteobacteria; Enterobacterales; Enterobacteriaceae
Description: 23S ribosomal RNA
Rfam family: Bacterial large subunit ribosomal RNA
Source: RNAcentral